UACGGGGGGGGCAAGCGUUGUUCGGAAUUACUGGGCGUAAAGCGCGUGUAGGCGGCUCUUCAAGUCGAGUGUGAAAGCUCCAGGCUUAACCUGGGAAUUGCGCUCGAUACUGUUGAGCUAGAGUGUGGAAGGGGCUACUGGAAUUCCGUGUGUAGCGGUGAAAUGCGUAGAUAUCAGGAAGAACACCGAUGGCGAAAGCAGCUCUCUGGGACGGUACUGACGCUGAGGCGCGAAAGCGUGGGGAGCGAACAGG
This 253-nucleotide ribosomal RNA is filed under the name uncultured bacterium. RNAcentral's name for it is "partial 16S ribosomal RNA". It matches the Rfam family "Bacterial small subunit ribosomal RNA", at positions 524 to 776 of the family's 1533-position model. The record is from RNAcentral.